Molecule: transfer RNA, 75 nt
Filed under: Staphylococcus epidermidis
Lineage: Bacteria; Bacillati; Bacillota; Bacilli; Caryophanales; Staphylococcaceae
Also listed under: 1 other name
Description: tRNA-Gly
Rfam family: tRNA
About the family: Transfer RNA (tRNA) molecules are approximately 80 nucleotides in length. Their secondary structure includes four short double-helical elements and three loops (D, anti-codon, and T loops).
Source: RNAcentral
GCGGAAGUAGUUCAGUGGUAGAACACCACCUUGCCAAGGUGGGGGUCGCGGGUUCGAAUUCCGUCUUCCGCUCCA